RNAcentral lists this transfer RNA (91 nucleotides) under Candidatus Fiminaster equi. Its description in RNAcentral is "tRNA-Ser". It matches the Rfam family "tRNA". Rfam says of the family: Transfer RNA (tRNA) molecules are approximately 80 nucleotides in length. Lineage: Bacteria; Bacillati; Bacillota; Bacilli. The record is from RNAcentral.
GGAGUAGUACCCGAGAGGCUCAAGGGGACGGUUUGCUAAACCGUUAGGUCGGGUAACUGGCGCAAGGGUUCGAACCCCUUCUACUCCGCCA